UACGAAGGGGGCUAGCGUUGCUCGGAAUCACUGGGCGUAAAGGGUGCGUAGGCGGGUCUUUAAGUCAGGGGUGAAAUCCUGGAGCUCAACUCCAGAACUGCCUUUGAUACUGGGAUUCUUGAGUUCGGGAGAGGUGAGCGGAACUGCGAGUGUAGAGGUGAAAUUCGUAGAUAUUCGCAAGAACACCAGUGGCGAAGGCGGCUCACUGGCCCGAUACUGACGCUGAGGCACGAAAGCGUGGGUAGCAAACAGG
This 253-nucleotide ribosomal RNA is filed under the name uncultured bacterium. RNAcentral's name for it is "partial 16S ribosomal RNA". It matches the Rfam family "Bacterial small subunit ribosomal RNA", at positions 524 to 776 of the family's 1533-position model. The record is from RNAcentral.